GACGAACGCUGGCGGCGUGCUUAACACAUGCAAGUCGAGCGGUAAGGCCCUUUCGGGGGUACGACGAGCGGCGAACGGGUGAGUAACACGUGGGUGACCUGCCCUCAGCUCUGGGAUAAGCCUGGGAAACCGGGUCUAAUACCGGAUAUGACUCCAUGACGCAUGUUGUGGGGUGGAAAGCCUUGUGCGGCUGAGGAUGGGCCCGCGGCCUAUCAGCUUGUUGGUGGGGUGAUGGCCUACCAAGGCGACGACGGGUAGCCGGCCUGAGAGGGCGACCGGCCACACUGGGACUGAGGCACGGCCCAGACUCCUACGGGAGGCAGCAGUGGGGAAUCUUGCGCAAUGGGCGAAAGCCUGACGCAGCGACGCCGCGUGAGGGAUGACGGCCUGUGU
This 393-nucleotide ribosomal RNA is filed under the name uncultured bacterium. RNAcentral describes it as "bacterial SSU rRNA". It matches the Rfam family "Bacterial small subunit ribosomal RNA", at positions 28 to 421 of the family's 1533-position model. The record is from RNAcentral.